AUUUAUAUAGUAUAAAAAUUAUUUUCGACUUCCAAUUGAAAGAUCUAACAAAUUUUAGUAUAAAUA
Molecule: transfer RNA, 66 nt
Filed under: Acmaeodera sp. RUGACM01
Lineage: Eukaryota; Metazoa; Arthropoda; Insecta; Coleoptera; Buprestidae
Description: tRNA-Gly
Source: RNAcentral